Molecule: small nucleolar RNA, 67 nt
Organism: Nymphaea colorata (pocket water lily)
Lineage: Eukaryota; Viridiplantae; Streptophyta; Magnoliopsida; Nymphaeales; Nymphaeaceae
Product: small nucleolar RNA snoR101
Exons: 1
Source: RefSeq, a predicted model, not a curated record
GGUAUACACUUGAUCUCUGAACUUCAGGUAAGUUCACUUGUUGACAAGAUUAUGAAUUGCUGAUGCA